RNAcentral lists this ribosomal RNA (515 nucleotides) under uncultured Glomus. RNAcentral describes it as "SSU rRNA". It matches the Rfam family "Eukaryotic small subunit ribosomal RNA", at positions 553 to 1072 of the family's 1831-position model. Lineage: Eukaryota; Fungi; Glomeromycota; Glomeromycetes; Glomerales; Glomeraceae. The record is from RNAcentral.
GGGCAAGUCUGGUGCCAGCAGCCGCGGUAAUUCCAGCUCCAAUAGCGUAUAUUAAAGUUGUUGCAGUUAAAAAGCUCGUAGUUGAAUUUCGGGGUCAGCAAGUUGGUCGUGCCACCGGUAUGCACUGGCUUUACUGAUUCCUCCUUCUUGUAGAACCUUAAUGCCAUUAACUUGGUGUUGUGGGGAAACAGGACUGUUACUUUGAAAAAAUUAGAGUGUUUAAAGCAAGCUAACGCUUGAAUACAUUAGCAUGGAAUAAUGAAAUAGGACGAUCGAUCCUAUUUUGUUGGUUUCUAGGAUUGACGUAAUGAUUAAUAGGGAUAGUUGGGGGCAUUAGUAUUCAAUUGUCAGAGGUGAAAUUCUUGGAUUUAUUGAAGACUAACUACUGCGAAAGCAUUUGCCAAGGAUGUUUUCAUUAAUCAAGAACGAAAGUUAGGGGAUCGAAGACGAUCAGAUACCGUCGUAGUCUUAACCAUAAACUAUGCCGACUAGGGAUCGGAUGAUGUUAAUUUUUU